This 449-nucleotide ribosomal RNA is filed under the name uncultured Nocardioides sp. RNAcentral describes it as "bacterial SSU rRNA". It matches the Rfam family "Bacterial small subunit ribosomal RNA", at positions 62 to 525 of the family's 1533-position model. Lineage: Bacteria; Bacillati; Actinomycetota; Actinomycetes; Propionibacteriales; Nocardioidaceae. The record is from RNAcentral.
UCGAGCGGAAAGGCCACUUUCGGUGGUACUCGAGCGGCGAACGGGUGACCUCAUUUGAAGUAAUCUGCCCUUGGCUUUGGGAUAGCCACCGGAAACGGUGAUUAAUACCGGAUAUGACCACUACACGCAUGUGUGGGUGGUGGAAAGUUUUUCGGCCAGGGAUGUGCUCGCGGCCUAUCAGCUUGAUGGUGAGGUAAUGGCUCACCAUGGCUUCGACGGGUAGCCGGCCUGAGAGGGUGACCGGUCACACUGGGACUGAGACACGGCCCAGACUCCUACGGGAGGCAGCAGUGGGGAAUAUUGGACAAUGGGCGGAAGCCUGAUCCAGCAACGGCGCGUGAGGGAUGACGGCCUUCGGGUUGUAAACCUCUUUCAGCAGGGACGAAGCGUGAGUGACGGUACCUGCAAAAGAAGCACCGGCCAACUACGUGCCAGCAGCCGCGGUAAUA